GCCAAUCCUAGUGCAUCCUUGGGUAGGUUGUUAACCAAUUAUUUCAUCAAAAUAAUUUUUAAUAAUUAUAUUUUACCCCAGGUAUCUCUUCAGCAGACAUGUGGUAUCUCCACUGAAAAUUCUGAUUAGAUCCAACCAUUAACAUAACUACACUAAGUGCAUCCAACAAACGAAUGCCUAGGUCCGAGUGUGGCUCGACCAACCUGACCAUUAAUAUGGAGGAC
This 224-nucleotide long non-coding RNA is filed under the name Elaeis guineensis (African oil palm). RNAcentral describes it as "long non-coding RNA (EGUI_LNC012295)". Lineage: Eukaryota; Viridiplantae; Streptophyta; Magnoliopsida; Arecales; Arecaceae. The record is from RNAcentral.